GGUGAUGUGGUGCAUGUCUCCUUGACUGGGGGUCAAGGGGUCGUGGGUUCAAAUCCCGCCGUCCCGACCA
Molecule: transfer RNA, 70 nt
Filed under: Streptomyces mashuensis
Lineage: Bacteria; Bacillati; Actinomycetota; Actinomycetes; Kitasatosporales; Streptomycetaceae
Description: tRNA-Pro
Source: RNAcentral